ACUCAAAUGAAUUGACGGGGGCUCACACAAGCAGUGGAGCAUGUGGCUUAAUUCGAGGCUACGCGCAGAACCUUAUCCCGGGCUUGACAUGCACGGAUUACCCGGCGGAAACGCCGGGGACGCCGCGAGGUGGAACGUGCACAGGUGCUGCAUGGCUGUCGUCAGCUCGUGCCGUGAGGUGUUGGGUUAAGUCCCGUAACGAGCGAAACCCCUGCGGUUAGUUGCCAUCAGGUCACGCUGGGCACUCUAGCCGGACCGCCGGCGUCAAGCCGGAGGAAGGCGGGGACGACGUCAAGUCCGCAUGGCCCUUAUGCCCGGGGCCGCACACGUGCUACAAUGGGCCGGACAGAGCGCCGCGACGUCGCAAGGCGGAGCCAAUCGCCGAAACCGGCCCCCAGUUCGGAUUGCGGGCUGCAACCCGCCCGCAUGAAGCCGGAAUUGCUAGUAAUCGCGGAUCAGCAUCGCCGCGGUGAAUGGGUUCCUGAGCCUUGUACACACCGCCCGU
This 505-nucleotide ribosomal RNA is filed under the name uncultured bacterium. RNAcentral describes it as "partial 16S ribosomal RNA". It matches the Rfam family "Bacterial small subunit ribosomal RNA", at positions 899 to 1397 of the family's 1533-position model. The record is from RNAcentral.